This 435-nucleotide ribosomal RNA is filed under the name uncultured bacterium. RNAcentral describes it as "partial 16S ribosomal RNA". It matches the Rfam family "Bacterial small subunit ribosomal RNA", at positions 29 to 507 of the family's 1533-position model. The record is from RNAcentral.
AGCGAACGCUGGCGGCAGGCUUAACACAUGCAAGUCGAGCGGGCACUUUCGGGUGUCAGCGGCGGACGGGUGAGUAACGCGUUGGAACGUGCCCUCUGGUUCGGAAUAACUCAGGGAAACUUGAGCUAAUACCGGAUACUCCCUUUUGGGGAAAGGCUUGCUGCCGGAGGAUCGGCCCGCGUCUGAUUAGCUAGGUGGUGAGGUAACGGCACACCAAGGCGACGAUCAGUAGCUGGUCUGAGAGGAUGAUCAGCCACACUGGGACUGAGACACGGCCCAGACUCCUACGGGAGGCAGCAGUGGGGAAUAUUGGACAAUGGGCGCAAGCCUGAUCCAGCCAUGCCGCGUGAGUGAUGAAGGCCUUAGGGUUGUAAAGCUCUUUUAUCCGGGACGAUAAUGACGGUACCGGAGGAAUAAGCCCCGGCUAACUUCGUG